This 67-nucleotide transfer RNA is filed under the name Diodora graeca. Its description in RNAcentral is "tRNA-Phe". It matches the Rfam family "tRNA". From Rfam's summary of the family: Transfer RNA (tRNA) molecules are approximately 80 nucleotides in length. Their secondary structure includes four short double-helical elements and three loops (D, anti-codon, and T loops). Further hydrogen bonds mediate the characteristic L-shaped molecular structure. tRNAs have two regions of fundamental functional importance: the anti-codon, which is responsible for specific mRNA codon recognition, and the 3' end, to which the tRNAs corresponding amino acid is attached (by aminoacyl-tRNA synthetases). tRNAs cope with the degeneracy of the genetic code in two manners: having more than one tRNA (with a specific anti-codon) for a particular amino acid; and 'wobble' base-pairing, i.e. permitting non-standard base-pairing at the 3rd anti-codon position. Lineage: Eukaryota; Metazoa; Mollusca; Gastropoda; Lepetellida; Fissurellidae. The record is from RNAcentral.
GUUUUAAUAGCUUAAGGGGUAGAGCGUAGCACUGAAGCUGCUAAGGUAGAAGUAAUUUUUUAAAACA